GCUGAUAUGUACACCAAUUUGAGGUUUGAAAACUGUCAAUUGUUCAGUUCAACAGUGCCAAAUGAUUAAAAGAAAUCGGGAUGGAUGAAAGUAUUUGGGUAUAAAUUCAGAAAAAAAACAGAACCACAAUAGGGGCCCCCUUUUAGAGUUUAAUUUGUAGUGAGUCAGUACACAUUGAGCAUUUCGGAAAACGCAUAAUUAAAUGGAAGCGAUGGAAACAGUUCAGCAAGGGCGACCACAGUUUUGGGUGGGGUUAAAUGGUAGAGCAGUUCUGGGAUGUCCCAACCACAGAACUAAACUUCGCCCCAUUAGAUUAUGUAGCAUUAAUUUUUUGUUAUUUUAUUUGCAAUUAUUUAGCUUAUCUACUUCAAUGUUUAUUUUUCAGGAUAGUCGUUUUGUAUUUCAUGUAUUCUAAUAAAUGUCACUUAUUAUUA
This is a long non-coding RNA of Photinus pyralis (common eastern firefly), 434 nucleotides long. RefSeq lists it as uncharacterized. The record is from RefSeq and is a predicted model, not a curated record. Lineage: Eukaryota; Metazoa; Arthropoda; Insecta; Coleoptera; Lampyridae. The transcript is spliced from 3 exons.